This 497-nucleotide ribosomal RNA is filed under the name uncultured bacterium. RNAcentral describes it as "partial 16S ribosomal RNA". It matches the Rfam family "Bacterial small subunit ribosomal RNA", at positions 28 to 507 of the family's 1533-position model. The record is from RNAcentral.
GUUGAACGCUGGCGGCGUGCCUUAUACAUGCAAGUCGAGCGAACGGACGAGCUACUUUCUUCUCUGAUUUUAGCGUCGCACGCGUGAGUAACACGCGGAUAACCUAGCUAUAAGACUGGGAUUACUUAGGCAAACCGGUACUAAUUCCGGAUAAUAUUCUGAACCGCAUGGUUGAAGAGUGAAAGACGGUCUUGCUUUCACUUAUCGGUUGAUCCGCGCUGCAUUAGCUAGUUGGUAAGGUAACGGCUUACCAAGGCAACGAUUCGUAGCUGACCUGAGAGGGUGAUCGGCCACACUGGAACUGAGACACGGUCCAGACUCCUACGGGAGGCAGCAGUAGGGAAUUUUCGGCAAUGGGCGAAAGCCUGACGGAGCAACGCCGCGUGAGUGAUGAAGGUCUUCGGAUCGUAAAACUCUGUUAUUAGGGAAGAACAGGUUUGUAAGAAACUGUGCAGACCUUGACGGUACCUAAUCAGAAAGGCACGGCUAACUACGUG